Molecule: long non-coding RNA, 1432 nt
Organism: Oncorhynchus tshawytscha (Chinook salmon)
Lineage: Eukaryota; Metazoa; Chordata; Actinopteri; Salmoniformes; Salmonidae
Exons: 4
Source: RefSeq, a predicted model, not a curated record
CUGUGAUAUUGUUGUAGGCAGAGCCAGAGCACAACGGAGAAGAAUUCGGGGUGGGUCGCCCAUGAGGGGUCUUUUCAUCACCACAAAUCACUGGGAUCUGGGCCUGGACGGGUGUCCGUAGUAUAUCCCUCGCGUCCGACUCAUUGAAGAAGAACUCCUCGUCCAAUUUGAGUAUCUGUUAUUGUUCUGAGGAGGGCGGGUCUUCCUGGGCUAGAACUGGCUGUGACCGCUCGUCUCUUCUCCAAACAGAUACAACCCAACACCACUGAAACCAGCCUCAGAUAAUACACAAGGUCCACACGACUACUGAGCGAUAAACGUGGAUGGACUCCCUCUCCCUUCCAUUCCCGCACCACGGGUUCAACCCAGAAUGUUUCUAGCGAGAGCUCUGUUUGGUUGAAGUCCCAGAGCGCUCCGUUUUCACCUUGUCCGAUUGGUGAUGAGCGGUGUCUGUCGUCGUCGUCGUCCUCAAGCGACACACCUCCACGCGCCACCUGUUUCUGUCACUUGGUGUCAUUGAACUCUGAAAUUACAUUGUACUGGUUGCAAUGAAAAGGGCGUGUUAUAUAUUCUAGAUGUAUUUGUACUUGAUAUGUUUUCUGUGUAAAAUGUGUAUCUUAUCUGGAACUCAUCUAUAGGCUACACUUGUGUGGCUUGUGAUUGAAAUGUUUCAAGUUUCAUUGAUUGCAACAAACGUCAAGAAUAUGAAAAAUAUUAAGAUCUAGGUCUUCUUAAAAGAUGUGUCCUGCCUAAAUGUGAUUUUCUUUACCAAGAUGAGGACCAUCAAGAGCACAUUUACUGAGUGACUUGGGUGGUCUCUCGGGUCUGGUCUGAUCGCUCAACAGUUUCAAUUGUAUGAUCUGAAAGACGCCAGACAUUGUGAUGGUAGGAAAUGUACAUUUGAAAUAACAUUGCAGUGCAAACACACUGGGCACACAUUGAUUGAAUCGACGUUGUUUCCACUUCAAUGAAAUUACGUUGAACCAACGUGGAAUUAACGUUGAAUUGAUGUCUGUGCUCAAUCGCAUGCUCAAUUUACUAGUGAUAGUUAUGUCUCUCAUUGGAAAGCCUAGGUCUUUCUUUUGAUAUUCUAAAGUGACCAAAAUGACUUUCAGGUACUCGAAUAUUGUAGGAUAUGAAUUACAAGUUCAUUUUACAGGCUACACAGGAGGCCAAGGUUUGAGAUGAAGACAAGACACUGGAACUAAUACAUUUUUAAUAAUGUAUUAGCCCAUCUUGAGUUCAUUUGAUUGUCCAUCGUGGUUAGACUUUUAGCUUGGUAAUUACCAGACUGAUUUGCGAACCAUUCAUGUAAGCUCGCGAGAUCAGGCGGCUUUCGAGGCUAGGUUAGACUCGAGGACAAAACAACUAUGAAAUUCUCUUUCUCGGUGUGAGUUCAUGCAAAUAACUCUCAGAAGGCGUUAUGCAUUUU